RNAcentral lists this ribosomal RNA (481 nucleotides) under Borreliella burgdorferi (Lyme disease spirochete). Its description in RNAcentral is "bacterial SSU rRNA". It matches the Rfam family "Bacterial small subunit ribosomal RNA", at positions 52 to 527 of the family's 1533-position model. The record is from RNAcentral. Lineage: Bacteria; Pseudomonadati; Spirochaetota; Spirochaetia; Spirochaetales; Borreliaceae.
AGCAUGCAAGUCAAACGAGAUGUAGUAAUACAUCUAGUGGCGAACGGGUGAGUAACGCGUGGAUGAUCUACCUAUGAGAUGGGGAUAACUAUUAGAAAUAGUAGCUAAUACCGAAUAAGGUCAAUUAAUUUGUUAAUUGAUGAAAGGAAGCCUUUAAAGCUUCGCUUGUAGAUGAGUCUGCGUCUUAUUAGUUAGUUGGUAGGGUAAAUGCCUACCAAGGCGAUGAUAAGUAACCGGCCUGAGAGGGUGAACGGUCACACUGGAACUGAGACACGGUCCAGACUCCUACGGGAGGCAGCAGCUAAGAAUCUUCCGCAAUGGGCGAAAGCCUGACGGAGCGACACUGCGUGAAUGAAGAAGGUCGAAAGAUUGUAAAAUUCUUUUAUAAAUGAGGAAUAAGCUUUGUAGGAAAUGACGAAGUGAUGACGUUAAUUUAUGAAUAAGCCCCGGCUAAUUACGUGCCAGCAGCCGCGGUAAUACG